Molecule: ribosomal RNA, 648 nt
Filed under: sulfate-reducing bacterium enrichment culture clone 1-3-5-B5
Lineage: Bacteria
Description: bacterial SSU rRNA
Rfam family: Bacterial small subunit ribosomal RNA
Source: RNAcentral
GAUACUUAGUGGCGGACGGGUGAGUAACGCGUGAACAAUCUGCCCUAUACAAAGGAAUAGCCUCGGGAAACUGGGAUUAAAACCGUAUAACACUUACAUAUCGCAUGGUAAGUAAGUCAAAUUGAUUAAGAGGUAUAGGAUGAGUUCGCGUCUGAUUAGCUAGUUGGUGAGGUAAUGGCUCACCAAGGCGACGAUCAGUAGCCGGCCUGAGAGGGUGAACGGCCACACUGGAACUGAGACACGGUCCAGACUCCUACGGGAGGCAGCAGUGGGGAAUAUUGCACAAUGGGCGAAAGCCUGAUGCAGCGACGCCGCGUGAGUGAAGAAGGCCUUCGGGUCGUAAAACUCUGUCCUUGGUGAAGAAAAAAAUGACGGUAGCCAAGGAGGAAGCCCCGGCUAACUACGUGCCAGCAGCCGCGGUAAUACGUAGGGGGCGAGCGUUGUCCGGAUUUACUGGGCGUAAAGGGUGAGUAGGCGGUUGUAUAUGUCAGAUGUAAAAGGCACAGGCUUAACUUGUGUAAGCAUUUGAAACUGUAUAACUUGAGUGCAGGAGAGGUAAGUGGAAUUCCUAGUGUAGCGGUGAAAUGCGUAGAUAUUAGGAGGAACACCAGUGGCGAAGGCGACUUACUGGACUGUAACUGACGCUGG